AAGCUUGGCGUUUCAGACCCUAUAAUUCUCUCUUUGUCUGAAUUAAGCUUGAAAAUCCUCAGAGCUCCCUGUUACCUACAAGAAGUUGAGAGAUAAUUAAGUAUGAUGGUUUCUGCUCAGGGCAAAGAAAAGCCAGCGCCAUAAAGCUCCAGAAGAGCUCCUUUGAUGCGUUGGAAUUGUGCACAGAAAAGAAUAAAAAAGGAAAUGGGGCCAAAGAUUUGGAAAGGUGCGUUGCACCAUGUAAAAUGAAAGAAAAAGGCAAAGUUUUUUGGAAUGGUAUAGAAUGUGAAUGAAUAAUAAUAAUAAUAUAAUAAAAGAGGGUCAAGGUUUUUGGAUGGUGUUAUACCAUCUGAAAAGAAAGAAGAAAAUAUAUAUUUAUUUAUGUGAAUGGUGUUGGCUUAAAACACUUUCAUAAGUUUUAUUUAUUUAAAACAAUUUAUUUACAGUGGGUAGAAUUAUUACCCUUU
Long non-coding RNA from Malus domestica (apple), 467 nucleotides. RefSeq lists it as uncharacterized. NCBI's taxonomy places the organism in Eukaryota, Viridiplantae, Streptophyta, Magnoliopsida, Rosales, Rosaceae. The record is from RefSeq and is a predicted model, not a curated record.